GAACGCUAGCGGCAGGCUUAACACAUGCAAGUCGAGGGGUAGAAGCAGCUUGCUGCUUUGAGACCGGCGCACGGGUGCGUAACGCGUAUGCAACCUACCUUAUACAGGGGAAUAGCCCAGAGAAAUUUGGAUUAAUGCCCCAUAGUAUUAUUGAAUGGCAUCAUUUGAUAAUUAAAGUUCCAACGGUAUAAGAUGAGCAUGCGUCCCAUUAGUUAGUUGGUAAGGUAACGGCUUACCAAGACAAUGAUGGGUAGGGGUCCUGAGAGGGAGAUCCCCCACACUGGUACUGAGACACGGACCAGACUCCUACGGGAGGCAGCAGUGAGGAAUAUUGGUCAAUGGGCGCAAGCCUGAACCAGCCAUGCCGCGUGCAGGAAGAAGCAUCUAUGGUGUGUAAACUGCUUUUAUACAGGAAGAAACAACUCUACGUGUAGAGUCUUGACGGUACUGUAAGAAUAAGGACCGGCUAACUCCGUG
RNAcentral lists this ribosomal RNA (477 nucleotides) under uncultured bacterium. Its description in RNAcentral is "bacterial SSU rRNA". It matches the Rfam family "Bacterial small subunit ribosomal RNA", at positions 31 to 507 of the family's 1533-position model. The record is from RNAcentral.